This 70-nucleotide transfer RNA is filed under the name Curculionoidea sp. 31 KM-2017. RNAcentral's name for it is "tRNA-Val". Lineage: Eukaryota; Metazoa; Arthropoda; Insecta; Coleoptera. The record is from RNAcentral.
CAAAUUAAAGCUUGUAGAGCGUUUUAUUUACAUUAAAAAGAAUACUUGGAUUUUAGGAAGUAUAAUUUGA